Molecule: microRNA precursor, 106 nt
Filed under: Daucus carota subsp. sativus
Lineage: Eukaryota; Viridiplantae; Streptophyta; Magnoliopsida; Apiales; Apiaceae
Description: sRNA DCAR_mi00183
Rfam family: mir-172 microRNA precursor family
About the family: mir-172 has been experimentally verified in Arabidopsis thaliana.
Source: Rfam by way of RNAcentral
GUAUUUGCGGGUGGAGCAUCAUCAAGAUUCACACAGCUUUUUAGGGUUUCAUAUAUGGCCCUUUUGUGUGAUGUGAGAAUCUUGAUGAUGCUGCAGCGGCAAUUAA